UGGGGAAUCUUGGACAAUGGGCGAAAGCCCGAUCCAGCAAUAUCGCGUGAGUGAAGAAGGGCAAUGCCGACUUGUAAAGCUCUUUCGUCGAGUGCGCGAUCAUGACAGGACUCGAGGAGAAGCCCCGGNUAACUCCGUGCCAA
RNAcentral lists this ribosomal RNA (143 nucleotides) under uncultured bacterium. RNAcentral's name for it is "partial 16S rRNA". It matches the Rfam family "Bacterial small subunit ribosomal RNA", at positions 355 to 511 of the family's 1533-position model. The record is from RNAcentral.